ACGUGUUCCGACAUUAUCACUCAGAAAGAAAACGUGUUGUUUGUUAGGAGCGCCCUAACCUUGAAGAUUACGACGGAGAAUCCAGUCCCUCGCGGAGCACUAGGUCCGGUAUCGCUUCUCGGCCUUUUGGCUAAGAUCAAGUGUAGUAUCUGUUCUUAUCAGUUUAAUAUCUGAUACGUCCCCUACCCGGGGACCAUAUAUUAAAUUGAUUUUUGGAACAGGGAGAUGGAAUAGGGGCUUGCUCCGUCCACUCCACGCAUCGACCUGGUAUUGCAGUACCUCCAGGAACGGUGCACUCCCCUCGGGGAAAAAAGGCAUGUGAAAUAUUAGCAAUUAGCUUCGGCAUUCAGUAUGUUUUAAGCUGCACGAUAACGGGGGCUAUGUUAUUGGUGCGGAUCACAGUUUCUGGAAACGUGUUGGAUUAAAAGAACAUCUAAGCGCCAUCUGUGAGAAUCGGCACGUAAACCCCUCCCAUCAGGCAGAAGGUACAGGAGCAUCAGUAGCAGAACAUCCCACUUCAGGAGCAUCAGUAGCAGAACAUCCCACUUCAGGAGUAUCAGUAGCAGAACAUCCCACUUCAGGAGUAUCAGUAGCAGAACAUCCCACUUCAGGAGCAUCAGUAGCAGAACAUCCCACUUCAGGAGCAUCAGUAGCAGAACAUCCCACUUCAGGAGCAUCAGUAGCAGUAUCAGUAGCAGAACAUCCCACUUCAGGAGUAUCAGUAGCAGUAUCAGAACAUCCCACUUCAGAGAUAGUACCUACCGCCAAGCCAUCAGACACUCUUAACAUGCACUGAAUAUCUUGCACAUGUAAAUCUAUGCAUCAUGUAGAUGUAGGUCCAUGUUUGUAUGAACAUACUAUGUGAAUAGGCCGAAUCUCUUUAUAGGCUGAAGCUCUAAAACACUUUAACUCAAGUUCAGCCCUAUAUUUUUGAUGAGUCAUGUUGUGUUGUGGGCACUUUCCUAUCAACUGUGUAGCUGAAAUGGCAAUAAACAAUACAAUGUGUCAAAAAACCCUCUGUGUUGUGGAGACCUUCAAACUAGCACAGGCCCCAGGUAUUAAAUAUAAUGCAAUAAUAGGUAUACAAUAUAAUGCAAGUCAAUGCAAGAGUGCCAUGUUGCUCAAAUCUUACAGAAUUACACAUAGCUCCUCUAGAGGUUGCAGAUGUAUGUUUUUUAUAUGGUGGGGAAAUAUCCUCAUGCAUAUGGAUGGACAUCAACAUUGGACAGGAAAUAUACAUUGUAUACAGUAUUUGUAUUCAAUGUGACACAAACUGUGAAACUAAGUGACAUAAUAUGCCACAUAUUAUGCAAAUGUGUUCUCAUGUACCUGUAGGUCCAGUUGCAAAUGUGUUCUCAUGUACCUGUAGGUCCAGUUGCAGGUCCAGAAGCAAUCACAGAAACAGCAACGGAUCAUCAUCAGAAUAUCAUCAAAAAGUUCAUUUAUGUCAGUAAUUCCGUUCAAAAAGUGAAACUUGUAUAUUAUAUUCAUGCAUUACACACAGACUGAUAUAUUUCAAAUGUUUAUUUCUUUUAAAUUUGAUGAUUAUAACUGACAACUAAUGAAAAUCCCAAAUUCAGUAUCUCAGUGUAAGUAGAUACUGUAGUCAACUUAGUUUGACAAUUGAUGCUUUUAUUUGCCUUCUGUCCUAAUUGACACUCAUAGCCUAUCCUUUAUUUUUAUUGUUUGUAUUAUUAAUAAUAAUAAUUAUCAUUAUGUAUCCCACUUGCAUCAUUAUAACCAUUAAAGCCAAUUCAAACGGUGGCAAUAUAUUACGUGGGCCUCACUGUUACGCCUAUGGACCUUAUAAAAACGGUCGCUCGCUAUGUCGCUAUCUCACCAAUGAAACCAUUUCAACACAUUCGCCGUUGUGUUUACACAGGUAUUGUAUUUUUGAAAUAAAAUAAAAAACCUACAGCGUGCACAUGCAUGAAGCCUGCCUGCCGUGCAGAGACCUUGUGAGGGGCAGGGCUCAGGGAACCAGAUUUGUUAACAAUAUACAGUUAAGAACAAAAUUAUUCAUACCGCUGGGCAAAUAUUGAUUUAAUGUUGAUUUUCUCUUCAUCAAUAUGCUUGUUCUGACUGAAAAUGACACUGCCACAUGUCAAACGUGUGUAGCCUAAGACAAUGUAACAUGGAAUCAGAAAAAGCAGCAUUUUCACCUUUUUUAACAUUUUUAUAUAAUACCUUUCUUAUAAUACCUACAAAGCCUCUUCAUGUCUCCACAAUGAUUGUAGACCGCAUCUUUUUAGCAGCAAUCCGGGUUUUGACUCUGACCUUGGGCUCUUGACGGAUCGAGGUCUGGAGUCUGGUCGCCAUCCACGCCUCAGUAAUUUAUCUCAACACAGAGGAUAGGCCUACAGCAGAUUAAGCUCAAUAGCGGUAACCGCGACAAUUGCGUUAAUUUGAUCUGUAAUGCUAACAUCUUAAUUUUGACAGCCCUAAAACAACAACUUGCCCCUCGCCCAUUCACAUUUGCUUGCGGACCACUAGGGAUAUCUGGCGGAGUUGGACCACAAUUUAACACUGGUCUACGGGAAGAUGAAGUA
Molecule: RNA transcript, 2549 nt
Organism: Alosa sapidissima (American shad)
Lineage: Eukaryota; Metazoa; Chordata; Actinopteri; Clupeiformes; Clupeidae
Gene name: sperm acrosomal protein FSA-ACR.1-like
Exons: 3
Source: RefSeq, a predicted model, not a curated record